UGGGGAAUUUUGGACAAUGGGCGAAANCCUGAUCCAGCAAUGCCGCGUGUGUGAAGAAGGCCUUCGGGUUGUAAAGCACUUUUGUCCGGAAAGAAAUCCUUGGCUCUAAUACAGUCGGGGGAUGACGGUACCGGAAGAAUAAGCACCGGCUAACUACGUGCCAGCAGCCGCGGUAAUACGUAGGGUGCAAGCGUUAAUCGGAAUUACUGGGCGUAAAGCGUGCGCAGGCGGUUUGCUAAGACCGAUGUGAAAUCCCCGGGCUCAACCUGGGAACUGCAUUGGUGACUGGCAUGCUAGAGUAUGGCAGAGGGGGGUAGAAUUCCACGUGUAGCAGUGAAAUGCGUAGAGAUGUGGAGGAAUACCGAUGGCGAAGGCAGCCCCCUGGGCCAAUACUGACGCUCAUGCACGAAAAGCGUGGGGGAGCAAAACAGGAUUAGAUACCCCUGGUAGUCCACGCCCUAAACGAUGUCAACUAGUUGUUGGGGAUUCAUUUCCUUAGUAACGUAGCUAACGCGUGAAGUUGACCGCCUGGGGAGUACGGUCGCAAGAUUAAAACUUAAAUGAAUUGACGGGGUCAUAGCUGUUU
This 586-nucleotide ribosomal RNA is filed under the name uncultured bacterium. RNAcentral's name for it is "partial 16S ribosomal RNA". It matches the Rfam family "Bacterial small subunit ribosomal RNA", at positions 355 to 935 of the family's 1533-position model. The record is from RNAcentral.